AUAAUAUAUGCUAAAAAAAAGGUGUUUUAAUAGCUUAUUAAUCUAUACAAUAUAUAACUUCCCCUUUAAACAAUACCAUUUACUUCUGCUCCAUAUCUUCCCAGAGUUGCUUCAUCUUCUACUUGGUGGACUACAAGCCCCUCAGGUUUAAAUGGUGGUACGUGUAGCCAGACUGGGCCUUUGCACUGGGCUGGGCCAUGGCCCUCUCCUCCAACCUCCUGGUGCCACUGUGAUCGAUUGGCAGGAUCUAUGUUGGCACAGGCCGCCUCAGGCAGAGUUGCUUUAUCUUCUACUUGGUGGACUACAAGCCCUUCAGGUUUAAUCUGUGGUACGUGUAGCCAGACUGGGCCUUUGCACUGGUCUGGGCCAUGGCCCUCUCCUCCAUCACCCCGUAGCACUCACUUCCGUCAUCAUCAAGUGCUUUGAGAGUGCUUUGAGAGACUAGUCAAGGAUCAUUUCACCUCCACCCUACCUGACACCCUAGACCCACUCCAAUUUGCUUACCGCCCCAAUAGGUCCACAGACGACGCAAUCGCAAUCACACUGCACACUGCCCUAACCCAUCUGGUCAAGAGGAAUACCCAU
Molecule: long non-coding RNA, 585 nt
Filed under: Salmo salar (Atlantic salmon)
Lineage: Eukaryota; Metazoa; Chordata; Actinopteri; Salmoniformes; Salmonidae
Description: lncRNA (ENSSSAG00000099831.1, ENSSSAG00020061516.1)
Source: RNAcentral